Molecule: long non-coding RNA, 304 nt
Organism: Neopsephotus bourkii (Bourke's parrot)
Lineage: Eukaryota; Metazoa; Chordata; Aves; Psittaciformes; Psittacidae
Exons: 3
Source: RefSeq, a predicted model, not a curated record
CACUACUGUCCUGGCUUGAGGUGAUGCUGAAUACACAAGGACAAUGAGAGAUCACCUCUAACAGGAGCGGACGGUUGUAACUGGCCUCCACAUUAUGGUUGGUCACAAACCGGAUCUUCAAGAAACUCAUGGAAGCUGAAAACUCCAGUUCCCCAAGCAGUUCCGUGGGAGGGGAGGAAUGAAGCAGAACGGAUACAGCACUCGUGGUGGGUGCCGAUAAACCCAUCCCGAGCUGACUGCCAGGGUCUGAAAAGGCAACAGCAGCCUCAAAUACCUAUCUUGGAGCUGCAGCCUUACGCUCAGC